Molecule: small RNA, 1531 nt
Filed under: Pan troglodytes (chimpanzee)
Lineage: Eukaryota; Metazoa; Chordata; Mammalia; Primates; Hominidae
Description: processed transcript
Source: RNAcentral
AAACACCGUACGCCACCCAACUCCUCUUGUAACGCCAUCGCGCGUGGCAUUGUGUUGGGUUCUGCGUGUGUGGCAUCGGAGUCGUGGAAUUUAGGGGGAACAAGGCUUUUCCCCCCGUCCCCCCGGGGUCUCCCUUGGGUGGGGGCGACACGGCCAAGGGCGGCGCGCCCUGGGGGUGCCCGGGGGCGCUUCUUCCCCAGGGCGUUACGCACCGGCGGCCCGGCGCGGAGGAGCUACUCUCCUCCUGGUGAGGUGGAAAUUCCAGCAAGAAUAAAGGUGAAGACAAGCCACCAGGACUCAGGAGGGAAACGCUGACCAUUAGAAACCUCUGCAUAAGACGUUGUAAGGAGGAAAAUAAAAGAGAGAAAAACACAAAGAUUUAAACAAGAAACCUACGAACCCAGCUCUGGAAAGAGCCACCUUCUCCAAAAUGGAUAUGCUUCCUCUCACCUGGGUUUUCUUAGCCCUCUACUUUUCAAGACACCAAGUGAGAGGCCAACCAGACCCACCGUGCGGAGGUCGUUUGAAUUCCAAAGAUGCUGGCUAUAUCACCUCUCCCGGUUACCCCCAGGACUACCCCUCCCACCAGAACUGCGAGUGGAUUGUUUACGCCCCCGAACCCAACCAGAAGAUUGUCCUCAACUUCAACCCUCACUUUGAAAUCGAGAAGCACGACUGCAACUUGCUGUCUGCUUGGAAAAUUUCACUCACAAGCCGCAGCUUUGCCUGACUCAGUGCAAUCCAAGGCCACCAUCUCUGGUGAACUUCCCUUGACUCCUCCCUCCAGUCACUUGCAGAAAUGCAAAUCCUGGGCACCCACAGGCUGUUUUGGGGCCUGUAUAGAAGCUGUGGGCAGAAACCAGAGGCCACUGUGGUACUGCUGGACUCCUGCAGCCAAAGGACAAAAGGGCGAGACUACAGGCCGUCUGGGCAAACAGAGAGAAGCCACUUUAUUCCCUGUGGAGUGGAGGAUGCUAGGAUGUUGCUGCUCCGGCAGACAGAGGCCUUUCGCUUGAGUCAUCAGCCAACAGACUGAAUGUUAUGGUUUUAGAAACCCAUACACAAAGUUGAGUGGUUUUUUCCAUUUCUAAAAUUUAAAAUGUAUGUAUUUUUAAAACACCCACCUGCAUGUAAUACACAGCUUGUUCAGGAGUUCUCAAACAGCCCCAGCACCCACCCCAUCCCAGAGGCUCAACCAAAUAAAACCAAAACCAAGAGGCUGGGUCCUUUUAAGCACUGGUAAUUUCUACCUGUAAUUCCAGCCCUUUGGGAGGCCGAGGCAGGCAGGUCACCUGAGGUCAGGAGUUCGAGACCAGCCUGGUCAACAUGGUGAAACCCCGUCUCUACUAAAAAUACAAAAAAAAUUAGCCAGGCUUGGCAGUGCGCGCCUGUAAUCUCAGCUACUCUGGAGGCUGAGGCAGGAGAAUCACUUGAACCUGGGAGGCAGAGGCUGCAGUGAGCUGAGAUUGUGCCACUGCACUCCGGCCUGGGUGAAAGAGUGAGACUCUGUCUCAAAAAAAUAAAAAAAGAA